GUGGAUCCUGUGAACUGCAGGACACAUGAACACCGACAAGUUGAACGCAUAUUGCACAUCGUACCACAGUACGAUGUACACAUUUUUGAGUGCCUAUAUUUAUCGAUACAACUAUACGUGUGCGUGCGCGUCCCACUGCCGGGUGGACAGGUGCACGGCCCAUGGCACGUAUGCGUAGUGAUGUUUUCCCUUGCCCUCCGGCUAGGCGGUAAAACAUUUAAAAUAAUCCUCGCCCCACACACCGGGCGCGGAUGAUGAAUACAUCCCAUACCCGCCGCGGUGGCACCGUGGCUAUGUUGUAUUCCAUCUUCGACGAUCACCAUACCCAGUAGGCCUCAAAUAAUGUGUGACUACCCCCUAAAAUUAAUAAUAUCGACAC
This 379-nucleotide ribosomal RNA is filed under the name Culicidae sp. ANT249-13_Hw. RNAcentral describes it as "eukaryotic LSU rRNA". The stretch from base 1 to 95 matches the Rfam family "5.8S ribosomal RNA", at positions 58 to 154 of the family's 154-position model. The record is from RNAcentral. Lineage: Eukaryota; Metazoa; Arthropoda; Insecta; Diptera; Culicidae.